RNAcentral lists this unclassified non-coding RNA (220 nucleotides) under uncultured Actinomycetes bacterium. RNAcentral describes it as "uncultured actinobacterium contains 16S-23S intergenic spacer region". It matches the Rfam family "Bacterial small subunit ribosomal RNA", at positions 978 to 1197 of the family's 1533-position model. The record is from RNAcentral. Lineage: Bacteria; Bacillati; Actinomycetota; Actinomycetes.
AAGGCUUGACAUAUACCGGAAAGCAUUAGAGAUAGUGCCCCCCUUGUGGUCGGUAUACAGGUGGUGCAUGGCUGUCGUCAGCUCGUGUCGUGAGAUGUUGGGUUAAGUCCCGCAACGAGCGCAACCCUUGUCCUGUGUUGCCAGCGCGUAAUGGCGGGGACUCGCAGGAGACUGCCGGGGUCAACUCGGAGGAAGGUGGGGAUGACGUUACGGUCUUACU